Molecule: long non-coding RNA, 219 nt
Organism: Hibiscus syriacus
Lineage: Eukaryota; Viridiplantae; Streptophyta; Magnoliopsida; Malvales; Malvaceae
Exons: 3
Source: RefSeq, a predicted model, not a curated record
ACAAAUUUCAAAUAUCCACAUUAGCAACGAAGCUUGGCGUUAGAAAUAUUGCAUUUCUUGGUUCCGGACUCCUACUGGUGAAUCAUGUUGCUGCUGUGUUGGCUGCAAUAUACGUGCCUCAGGCUUUCAGGUGUGGUUUAAUGAUACCAGCUCAUAUCUUCUUGGGGCUAUGCUUGAUUUUCUAGGCAUGGGUGUUGGAACUAGCGAAUUACACUAAGG